GAGAGUAUAGCUCAGUGGUAGAGUGCAUGCUUAGCAUACACAAAGUCCUGGGUUCAAACCCCAGUACCUCCA
RNAcentral lists this transfer RNA (72 nucleotides) under Camelus bactrianus (Bactrian camel). It matches the Rfam family "tRNA". Rfam says of the family: Transfer RNA (tRNA) molecules are approximately 80 nucleotides in length. Their secondary structure includes four short double-helical elements and three loops (D, anti-codon, and T loops). RNAcentral also lists the same sequence under 2 other names. The record is from Rfam by way of RNAcentral. Lineage: Eukaryota; Metazoa; Chordata; Mammalia; Artiodactyla; Camelidae.